RNAcentral lists this ribosomal RNA (440 nucleotides) under uncultured bacterium. RNAcentral's name for it is "partial 16S ribosomal RNA". It matches the Rfam family "Bacterial small subunit ribosomal RNA", at positions 338 to 795 of the family's 1533-position model. The record is from RNAcentral.
CCUACGGGGGGCAGCAGUAGGGAAUAUUGCUCAAUGGGGGAAACCCUGAAGCAGCAACGCCGCGUGGAGGAUGAAGGUUUUAGGAUUGUAAACUCCUUUUGUUAGAGAAGAUUAUGACGGUAUCUAACGAAUAAGCACCGGCCAACUCCGUGCCGGCCGCCGAGGUAAUAAGGAGGGUGCAAGCGUUACUCGGAAUCACUGGGCGUAAAGAGGGCGUAGGCGGGGUAAUAAGUCUGAUGUGAAAUCCUGUAGCUUAACUUCAGAACUGCAUUUGAAACUGUUGCGCUGGAGUGUGGGAGAGGUAGGUGGAAUUCUUGGUGUAGGGGUAAAAUCCGUAGAGAUCAAGAGGAAUACUCAUUGCGAAGGCAGCCUGCUGGAACAUUACUGACGCUGAGGCACGAAGGCGUGGGGAGCGAACAGGAUUAGAUACCCGAGUAGUC